This 83-nucleotide ribosomal RNA is filed under the name uncultured bacterium. RNAcentral describes it as "partial 16S ribosomal RNA". The record is from RNAcentral.
CCUGUCAUUUGGGAACAAGUUGCAUUGGUUAACUGCCGAUGCAUUGAUAGUACCAGAAGAGGAAGAGACGGCUAACUCUGUGC